RNAcentral lists this ribosomal RNA (457 nucleotides) under uncultured bacterium. RNAcentral describes it as "partial 16S ribosomal RNA". It matches the Rfam family "Bacterial small subunit ribosomal RNA", at positions 338 to 795 of the family's 1533-position model. The record is from RNAcentral.
CCUACGGGAGGCAGCAGUGGGGAAUAUUGCACAAUGGGGGAAACCCUGAUCCAGCGACGCCGCGUGAAUGAAGAAGUCUUUCUGUGUGUAAAGCUCUAUCGACAGGGAAGAGAUCCAGUCCUUCCGUCUUUUACCGGUCCCUGCCUACGAAGCCCCGGCUAACUACGUGCCACCCGCCGCGGUAAUACGUAGGGGGCAAACGUUGUCCGGAUUUACUGGGUGUAAAGGGAGCGUAGACGGCAGGGCAAGUCUGGAGUGAAAUCCUACGGCUUAACCAUAGAACUGCUUUUGAAACUGUGCAGCUGGAGUGCAGGAGAGGCAAGCGGAAUUCCUAGUGUAGCGGUGAAAUGCGUAGAUAUUAGGAGGAACACCAGUGGCGAAGGCGGCUUACUGGACUGUAACUGACGGUGAGGCGCGAAAGCGUGGGGAGCAAACAGGAUUAGAUACCCGUGUAGUC